Molecule: long non-coding RNA, 4713 nt
Filed under: Lactuca sativa (garden lettuce)
Lineage: Eukaryota; Viridiplantae; Streptophyta; Magnoliopsida; Asterales; Asteraceae
Description: long non-coding RNA (LSAT_LNC001818)
Source: RNAcentral
UUAUUGUGGGUUGAAAACCCUAUAUGCUCACCAGGCUCCCAAGCCUGACCCACUCAGUUUUCUUUUCAUUACAGGUAAUGACACAAGAGUAUAAGUCGGCGGACUUGACGAGAGAUUUUGGAUUAUAGAUCAGUAGUUGAAUAACUAUUGUAAGGUCUAUUUUAUGUUGUUUAUGCUUUUGGUCUGUAACGAACAUGACAUCCCGAGGUUUUAUUAUUUAAUAAAAAUACAUUCUUUUCGAGAAAUGUUUUGAUAAAAUGGUUAUCAUAUUUUAUUUUGGGAACAAAUUCCGCAACCGUUUUCUUUAAACGAUCACUCUGAUUUUGAAAACAAAGCAUAAACAAAUCGGUCUUUUCUGGCCGUGAAAUUGGGGAUGUCACAGUUGGUAUCAGAGCAUUAGUUUAAGCGAACUAGGAAUUUGUAGGAUUUCUAGACUUAAACUUAGAAUGCUAAGCAAUGAUUGCGAGUUGAGUGUGUCCAUUAUAUUUUAGGUAGUACACCUAAAUUGACACAGGCACUAUUUUAUUUUAGGAAAAUUGCCUAAAAUGCUUUUGCGUGCUAAAUGUUUUGUGUGAUAGCUAUAUUGAUGCUAUUAUUUGUUCGGAUCUAUGGUCUGUUGCCGACCGGAUCUGGAAACCUUAUGUGUAUAGGAUUCUAAGCGUACGUCUACGAUAUUAGAACUAGCAUAUAAACGUUUCGGAGUGAUAAGGAUGAUUUGAAUAUCUAUCGUGAUUAAGGAUCUAAUUUCACCAUAUUCGGUGUAUAGAUCAAAAAUGGUGAGAACGAGGAGUGGAGUUGGAAAUGCUGAUGAGAACAGGAAUCAAGUACCAGUAAUUGAACAAAUACCUGUUGUGGCAGCAGCGCCUGAACCAAUGACAAUGGCCGGAGUUCAAGUGAUGAUCCAGGCAAUGUUGAAUAAUCAGAUGGAAGAAACUAGACGUCUGAUCAGACAAAAUCGCGAGGAAUUGUCAAUUCGAGUAGAAGAGCCCGAAGUAAAUGGAGGGCAUUCUGAAGGAGGAAACUAUAGUGGGACCGUUGGUCAAGCCAACCCACCAAUAGUUCGCCAAAACAACCAGGAUAGAGGAAAUGAUGGACGUGGAUGCAAGUACAAGGAUUUCAUGGCAUCCAAACCACCAUGUCUUUCUGGGAGCCCGACACCGGUGCAAGUCAUGGACUGGAUCUCCGAAAUGGAGACAAUGUUUGAAAGUUGCGAGUGUAGCAACAGACAGAAGACCGCUCUUGCAAUCCCUCUGUUAAAAUCUGGAGUAUUGAGCUGGUGGAAGUUACUGGCUGGUUCAAUGCCCAAGGGGGAAGCUAGCAAGAUGUCUUGGGAAGAGUUCGUGGAGCAAAUGAAAAUGCAAUACUGCUCUGAGCAGGAUCUUCUGGAAAUCAACAAUGAGUUCCAGAAUCUGAAGAAAGGAAAAUUGAGCGUUACUGAAUACGCUACGAGCUUUACGGAGAAGAUGAAGCUUAUUCCAUACCUAAUUCCGACUGAACUUUCCAAGGUCAACAAGUUUGCCAAUGGAUUACCAGCGGACUUUGGUCCGAUAGUCAAACAAGCAACCACUCUGAAAGCCGCCAUCUGGGCAGCCAAAAAUGUUGAGACCCAAAUAAAAGAAAAGGGUCUGGAAAGGGCUGAAGUUGGAGAGAAAAGGAAGCGUGAAGGAUCUUCAAUAAUCGAUAAAGAAAGUAAAUUCUCGAAAACUGGAGGAAGAGAUGAGGCUAAGUGGUGUGAGAAGUGUAAGAAGAAACACUUCGGGAAAUGUAGCGAGGAGAUGACUUGCUACAAAUGUGGGAAGACAGGGCACUAUGCCAACAAGUGCGCACCUAACAAGAAGAUGUGCUAUAGGUGUAAUGAAGAAGGUCAUAUUUCUAAAGACUGCCCACAGAAAAACACACCUCCACAGCCAAGGGCAUUCAACAUGUUCCUCAACGAAGCAGAAAGGGAUGGGAGGGUUAAAGGAUGAAGACUUCAUAUUAAUAUAUAAAGUCGGUAAAGUCUGUAUCAGGAAGCAUAGCCUGUUAGAGGCAUAGUAUAGGGUGAACUUGAACUUUUGUGUAAUAGUUUCAAGAAUUAAUAUAAAUCCUAGUUUUGUUAUCUGAUGUGUUGAAUGAUUAUAUGAUUUAUGUAUGGUGACUUGGUUAACUGCGAGACAAUACUUGGGACGAGUAUGAGUAGGUGUGAAUGGUAGUAGAGAUCUAUACUACCGGAAGCACAGGACUCACGCUUGGAUCAGGGGAAGUCACAAGGUUAUCAAGAAGCUAGUAAUUGAUUCCGUUUUAUUCAAGUAUGUCAUUACCAUUGUUUCGGUAAUGUCUAGUAAGAUAGUUGUUAUUCCGACCCUAGGGGUCAUAUCAAUUGAGUCCGACUAUGAUGAGAGGUCAUCGGGACACGACCCAUCAGGGUUAUUACUUAGAAUGGAGAGAUAACUUAUGGAGUCAGUAUGCGAAUCCUAUUUCGUUGAUGAUUCCGGGACGUAAUCAUCCUAAGGGGGAGAUAAUUGUAACGCCCGUAGAUCAGGGCUAGUCAAUUUAGAGACAAUAAGAGUCAAAAAUGACUUUUUGAUAGAAGAUUAUUUAGGAUGAAUAAUCCUAACUAAGUUGUAGUAUAUGUUACAAGGUUUCCGUACAUAUAAAGAACGCCAAAAUCCGAGUUAUAACGAAGAAGUUAUGACCUGUCGAAGUUUCGCGACAGAACCGGCACGACACAGCGCGACGUAAAAAGUGAAUUUACGUUAGAGCGAUAUUUAGCCUUAGCAAUCUAAACGAGAAUCGAAGAUCUCGUUGUUGGUAUCGAAGCGAUAAAAAGUUAGGCGAGAACGGACGUCAAACGAAGAAGUUAUGAAUUUAUAACGAAGUUUUCUGUCGCGGCCUAUUAAAAAUAAAUAAUAAAAAUAAAAGUCAAAAUUAGCCGACGGAGUCUAAACGAAAGUUGUAGAGCGUAGUCUCACCUUCGCGUGGAUAUAAAGAACGUCGAAAACGGAGUUCGUAUGAAGAAGAUAUGAAUUUCCGAAGUUUAUUAAUCAAUUUGUAUUUAAAUUUAAAAGGAAAUUCGGAAGCAUUAUCCGAAGGAGUCACCGGUCUGAUCCGAGGUACGCGCCGCGUACUCGAGUACGCCCCGCGUACUCCGAAGUGUCGACAUUCGCAGCAAGUGGCUUCGGAUGACGCACGCAGUGACGUUUUUCGGACCAGUACGCCCCGCGUACUGGCGUACGCCCCGCGUACUCCGAGGCUCCAGCCUCCUAUAAAUAGGAUGCGAGGGCAGCCGACCCAAUUGCCAAUUUCUUCUCUUCUCUCUCCCGUUUUGCAUCGUUUUGCGUGCCAGAAAUACCCCGAAGCCCCGGUAUUAUACCCUAGCCCCGAGGCAAGUCCCGAGAUCCCGAAGAUCCCGAAAAGUGCGGUUCCCGAGUCGAAGCUCUGCCCGCGAGAAGUUUGAUUUUCGAGGAGAUCUUCCAGAUCUGCUGAGGAAUACUACUUCUAUAAGCCGUAGUGCUGUCGGAUCGUCUUCUGAUCAAGUGAGUGUGUAGUUAUUUCUUCUAAUACAAUAAUACGAAGUAUUUUAUAUAAAAAUACGUGCUAUGUGUAUAUAUUUGGUUGUGUUAUGUGUGAAUGAGUAUUCACUCUCUUCUAUCUUAUAGAUCUGCUUAUUUCUUUAUGAGAUAUGUGUUAUGUGUGUGUGUCUCAUCUGUUAUGUGACAUAUGUGUUGAUUAAAGCAUGCUAUACAGGUUUUCUUUAAACUACGUAUACAAAUGUAUAUUUUUAUCUACUAAUAUUGUUGGGUAGAACAUGGGUAGAUGGGUUAGUUGGUGACUAUGGAGUUAGCGCCUGCUGUUAGAUAAACCUUGGUGACUAUGGAGUUAGCGCCUGCUGUUAGAUAAACCUUGGUGACUAUGGAGUUAGCGCCUAUUAUUAGGUAAACCUUGGUGACUAUGGAGUUAGCGCCUUUUGUAUAAACCUUGGUGACUAUGGAGUUAGCGCCUAUUGCAUAAACCUUGGCGACGAUGUGACUUCGUGCCUAUUUGAUGAACCUUGGCGACUAUGGAGUUAGCGCUUGUUAAGUAAACCUUGGCGACUAUGGAGUUAGCGCUUGUUAAGUGAACCUUGGUGACUAUGGAGUUAGCGCCGCUUGAGUAAACCCCGACGACUAUGGAGUUAGCGUCUUAUAACUAUGGAUUUAGUACUCGAUAGAUAAACUUUGGCAGCAAUGGAUUUCGUGCCGAUUCCUUAGGAAUAAGUGAAUGAAGGAUAGUUGGUUCUUAGGGGGAAACCUUAAGAAGAUGAUGGAGAUGGGUAUUUGAGUUGAUUGUUUGAUAAUUGAAUAUAACAAAUGUAUUAUUGUGGGUUGAAAACCCUAUAUGCUCACCAGGCUCCCAAGCCUGACCCACUCAGUUUUCUUUUCAUUACAGGUAAUGACACAAGAGUAUAAGUCGGCAGACUUGACGAGAGAUUUUGGAUUAUAGAUCAGUAGUUGAAUAACUAUUGUAAAGUCUAUUUUAUGUUGUUUAUGCUUUUGGUCUGUAACGAACAUGACAUCCCGAGGUUUUAUUAUUUAAUGAAAAUACAUUCUUUUCGAGAAAUGUUUUGAUAAAAUGGUUAUCAUAUUUUAUUUUGGGAACAAAUUCCGCAACCGUUUUCUUUAAACGAUCACUCUGAUUUUGAAAACAAAGCAUAAACAAAUCGGUCUUUUCUGGCCGUGAAAUUGGGGAUGUCAC